RNAcentral lists this ribosomal RNA (614 nucleotides) under Entamoeba sp. RNAcentral's name for it is "bacterial SSU rRNA". It matches the Rfam family "Eukaryotic small subunit ribosomal RNA", at positions 70 to 596 of the family's 1831-position model. Lineage: Eukaryota; Evosea; Mastigamoebida; Endamoebidae. The record is from RNAcentral.
CCCCGCCCCGAAUUGUUUGCAAACAGGGAGGAGAAGCGGUUACGUUAAGACCAGAAGGAUGAACUGCGAACGGCUCAUUACAACAGUUAUAAUUUCUUUGAUUAGUAAAAUAUAAGGAAUACCUUUGUGAAUAAUAAAGAUAAUACUUGAAACGAUCCUAAUUGAAUCAAAUCAAUUAGGCAUAAUUAUCAUCCGAUAGUUAUAGGAAAGAAGUUUAUUAAGAAAAAGAACAAAUUUUACAAUUGUAGAAAUCGUAAGAUUUUAACAAGUAAUCCAUGAAAAUAUCUGAUCUAUCAACUAGUUGGUAGUAUAGAGGACUACCAAGGUUAUAACGGAUAACGAGAAAUUAGGGUUUGACAUCGGAAAAGGAGCUUUAAAAAUGGCUACUACUUCUAAGGAAGGGAGCAGGCGCGUAAAUUACCCACUUUUAACAUAAAGAGGUAGUGACCACAAAUAACUCUUUUAAAGCCGUAAGGUUUUAAUUGAAGGAAUGAAUAUAAUGUAAAUAAUUAUAUGAAAGCAAUUGGAGGGCAAGUCUGGUGCCAGCAGCCGCGGUAAUUCCAGCUCCCCAAAAAUGAAACCGGUUAGAUGUAUACAUACGGAGAAAAAUCAAG